UACGGGGGGGGCAAGCGUUGUUCGGAAUUACUGGGCGUAAAGGGCUCGUAGGUGGCCAACUAAGUCAGACGUGAAAUCCCUCGGCUUAACCGGGGAACUGCGUCUGAUACUGGAUGGCUGGAGUAUGGGAGAGGGAUGCGGAAUUCCAGGUGUAGCGGUGAAAUGCGCAGAUAUCAGGAGGAACACCGGUGGCGAAGGCGGGUCUCUGGGCCGAUACUGACGCUGAGGAGCGAAAGCGUGGGGAGCGAACAGG
Molecule: ribosomal RNA, 253 nt
Filed under: uncultured bacterium
Lineage: Bacteria
Description: partial 16S ribosomal RNA
Rfam family: Bacterial small subunit ribosomal RNA
Source: RNAcentral